CAGCAGCCGCGGGAAUACGAAGGGGGCUAGCGUUGUUCGGAUUUACUGGGCGUAAAGGGCGCGUAGGCGGACUGAUAAGUCAGGGGUGAAAUCCCAGAGCUCAACUCUGGAACUGCCUUUGAUAUUGGGUAUCUUGAGUAUGGAAGAGGUGAGUGGAAUUCCGAGUGUAGAGGUGAAAUUCGUAGAUAUUCGGAGGAACACCAGUGGCGAAGGCGGCUCACUGGUCCAUUACUGACGCUGAGGUGCGAAAGCGUGGGGAGCAAACAGGAUUAGAUACCCCAGUAGUCCCUGUCUCUUAUAC
RNAcentral lists this ribosomal RNA (301 nucleotides) under uncultured bacterium. Its description in RNAcentral is "partial 16S ribosomal RNA". It matches the Rfam family "Bacterial small subunit ribosomal RNA", at positions 509 to 807 of the family's 1533-position model. The record is from RNAcentral.